UACGUAGGUGACCAGCGUUGUCCGGAUUUACUGGGCGUAAAGAGCGCGCAGGCGGUCGUUCAAGUCGAGUGUGAAAGCCCCCGGCUCAACUGGGGAGGGUCACUCGAUACUGAUCGACUUGAAGGCAGGAGAGGGAAGCGGAAUUCCCGGUGUAGUGGUGAAAUGCGUAGAGAUCGGGAGGAACACCAGUAGCGAAGGCGGCCGGCUGGGCCGACCCUGACGCUGAGGCGCGAAGGCGUGGGGAGCGAACGGG
Molecule: ribosomal RNA, 253 nt
Filed under: uncultured bacterium
Lineage: Bacteria
Description: partial 16S ribosomal RNA
Rfam family: Bacterial small subunit ribosomal RNA
Source: RNAcentral